AGCAGGGGGCAGCACAGCACUGGCACGGGCGGCUUGUCGCACAUGCGCAGUUGCAGCGGGCGCGGAGUUCGGACUUCUGUUUGUUGGGUUUGUUGUCGCUGGUGGUUUCUGCCAGUGGUCUCUUCUGGUCGUACAGCGUCUGUGAGCGGAUCCGUGGGCUUGUUAUCUCUGUCAGUCCUCGUCUGUUGGAGCAGAUGCUGUCGGACGAUGGUGAGAGCGGACCUCCUCCUCUGGUGUUUUUUGACCUGGAGACCACUGGACUGAGUCGUGACUGCGAGAUGGUGCAGCUGGCCGCCGUCAGCUCCUCGCACUCCCUGAACCUGUACGUGGUGCCGCAGGGCCGCAUGGACUGGGGGGCCACGAGGGCCACGGGGCUUACUGUCCACCACCACAGGCUGUUUCUGCACAAGAGGCCACUGCUGUGCACCCACCCGACUGAGGCACUCCUGGCCUUCCUCUGCUUCAUACACAUGUGUCAGAAGCCCCCACAGCGCCCUCUCCUGGUGGGACACAACGCCCGGGCCUUCGACAUGCCGGUGCUGCUGCGCGCACUGGAGAGGCGGGGCCUGCGGGGGGCGCUGGAGGACGCAGUGGGCGGAGCCGUGGACAGCCUGGCCCUUUCCCGGGACUUGCUGCGGGACAGCGGCGUGAGCAGCUUCAAACAAGAGGCGCUGGUAAGGCAGCUGCUGGGCGAGGACUACACGGCCCAUGAUGCACUGCAGGACGCCCGGGCGCUGCAGAGGCUGGUGCUGCAGGGGCUGAAGCCACGGGCGGAGGACCUGAGGCGACACACCUUCAGCCUGGGGAGCUGACGGGACGCUGACAAGGAGGAGACUACUUUAUCAUGAAGUGUCUGCUAUUGUCAAUUAAUCAACAUUAUAUUUAUUAUCAGUAAAAAAAACAAUGUGAGGACACAGUCUGGUCAUGUUUAUUAUACAAUAUUUACAAAAAAAAUCUCACAUUCAGUGCCUUUAAAACCAUAUCAAUAACAAGAAUUCUUCAUCCACAUAGAUUCUUUUGGAAAUGGUUCUUCAUUUUUAAGCAAGUAAGAGUUUCAGAAAAUAAAAGUUCCUUUUUCAGAGCUAGGUGUAUAAUUAUUACCGUGAGUGAGUUUUUGACCAUAUUGUUAUUUUUCUUUACCUUUUCAAUCUCCAAACUGUAAAAGUGUUGGAUUAAAGUGUCCCAGGUGUUGGCCAGAGGAAGUGUGGCCAAAGCAGGCCCACGCUCUGAAAUGAUCAUUAUGCAGUUUCUUUCUCUCACACAUCGGGCUGCAAAAUGUAACAUUUUCGUACAUUUUCCACAAACUUUCAUGGAACUUUCGCUUAAAAAUUUAAAAAAAAUUACUGCGAACUAUAAAUAUAUUUUAAAAAUAUAUAUUUAUUGUAUUUAAUUAAAGUGAACCAACAAACAAAAUUGCAAAGGCAACCCUUUAACUAAAAAGUCACUAUUCAGUGUGCAACAAAGAUUUGUUAAACAUCCAAAUUAUUUAUACUGUAUUUGGAUUAAGCUAAUAAAACAAAGAUCCUGAGGCACAUUUGUACAGGAUCUUAUUCCUCCAAGCAGAGGGCAGAGAGCUAAUAAUACAAUAAAAUAAAUAUCUAACAAAAAAUCUAAAAAUAUAUAUAUAUAUCCACACAAAAAAUAUUUUUUUUUAAAAUAUAAAUCGAUUUGACCUACCAACUCGAUUUUUAAAUCAAAUCGAUUUUUUUCCCAGCCCUAUGGUGAACUACUAGUUACCAAUUAGUUAUGUUUUUGAACAAUAAAACAUGCAUUUGUGUGAUCACACCCCAGACCCGUAGUCCCCUAUAGUCAUGACAAAACAUAACACAAUUUUCAUAAACUACAUUCUUUCUAACGCGCAGUGGGACAAACAGCAAAGUUUUAGUGGUUUUGUUUCAUCACACUGUGGUUGGUUAAAUUCACCUGUCUGUAACUCAGACCCCGACAGACACUGACAGUACGAGGAGUGGGCGGGGUCUGUGUCUGACACAGCUGCAUUAAACAGAACACACCUAAAUGGUCGACUUUUAACCUCUUAACAACCGCCUUAACCGAGCACAUUUUCUCCAGUUCAGCUUUAUCCAAAUCUAAAAGCUUCUUGACUGGAGCUUACAGCCUAUAGGCCAGUGUAGCACCUCCUCUGAAAGCUAAGACCUACAAAACUCAUCUAAGAUUUUCCUUGCGUUGCUGUGUUGUCGUCACUUUUUUGGUCAAGUUUUUAUUGUGUUUUUUGUCAUGUUUUUGUUGUUUUUAGUUGCUUUUGUCACAUUUUCAUUGCAUUUUUGUACGUUUUUUGUCAUUUUUGGUGCCUGUUUUGGUUUUGUCGUUUUUAGUUAGCUUUCUUCUUCGCUCUUCAGACCCUGGGGUCAGAUGUCGCCAAAAAUAUUUCAGCGUAUAACUAUCAAAUCAAAUCAAAUGUUUGUGCUUCACUUUAUAUCUGUCUGUAAAGAAGCAACCUUCAGAUGUGUUUAUUCCAGUUAAUUUCCAUGGAAAAUGUCUGGAAUUGUGCAACCCUACUCACACACACCUUCAAGGAAAAGACAUCUGCCACUGAAAAGUCAAAAACAGUUGAAAGCUGGUCAAAGGGAUCAUGAAAUUUCAAAAAUAUUGGGACCGGAACUCAGAACCAUCCAACGUUUUGUUGCCAUUAGACAACAAAGUCACAUGAUGGCGAAUUUACAGAAACUAAACACAAAGUAAUUGAAGAAAAAUCCAGCGUGAAGCCGCCAGGAAUCCAUCACCUACCAGCGCAGUCAUUCACCAGCUGUAACCGACCUGAAGUGUCCAGAAGUACAAGGUGUUCAGUGCUGAGAGACUUUGUCAAUGUGAGAAAGUAUGGAAAGCUGGUAGACCCCUCAUUUUUCCCCAUUUUGAAAAAAAUGUUUUGCCUAAUGUUUGCCCCAUUUUUCCAAAUUUUCUUUAAAUUAUUGCCCCAAUUUUUUCUCCUUUUCACAAUUUUUUCCCCUCAUUUUUGCUCAUCUUUAUUACUAAUAUAGUUUUACUGUUAAUACAUUUCUUCCCCAAUUUAUUCACAGUUUUUUC
Molecule: long non-coding RNA, 3042 nt
Filed under: Neogobius melanostomus (round goby)
Lineage: Eukaryota; Metazoa; Chordata; Actinopteri; Gobiiformes; Gobiidae
Description: lncRNA (ENSNMLG00000020386.1)
Source: RNAcentral